AGUCAAUUCUAAAGAGCAGUUCCUGGAUCCACAGCUUCUGGGGCAGGAGGAUUCCGAUAUGUUGUAUCUACCAGCAACACUCGACGUUAUCCAAAGAGACUAUGGAAAUUCACCUCUUAGAUUCUAGGGAUUCAGUUUGUCAUGGGAAGAAUCUUCUGGAGGCCAAGGGAACAGUAGACAAGAGGCCCUGGUUUUCCUGACGGAGCUCUCUGAGAACAGAGGUCAUUCAUGUUCUGUUUGCUUAUUGUGAACGAGACACAGCUUCCUUUUGAAUAUCAAACUCUGCUUUUUGGAAGGGUUCCCUGCACACGAGAUGUGAGACCGCGUGCCUUGUGUGAGCCUCAGAUGAGCCCUGCAGCUCCCUCAGGAUGCUAUUCGGAUAGUGCCGGUGGAGAAGCCCCCGAGGAAGCAUGGUCCUGCUUGCGACGAACUUGCUAUCCUUUCCCGGACACCCUUCGCUGCUUCUACCAGUUUUCAGUGCCAGGAUGCGCUUGAAGGGUGAGCUGAUGCCAGGGAUGUAGCCUUCCCCAGCCAGAGCAUGUGGGCCAAACCCUUUCUGGAUGGCUAGGCAGUGGGGAGAAGCCAUGAGAUGCUUGAGAAGUAGUCACAUCUCCCCUAGGGACAGUCUGGUUUUCAGGGUUACAUCCAUUCAAAAACACCCCCGGAAUUCAGGCUUGUGAAAGAUAAGCCAUCUUGACCCUGUUCCUUUGUUCCCACUGAGGUCCUGUCCUUGGCAUCCCCUUCUGGUUACACACCACCAAGGCACAGACACUACCCUGUCCUGCUGUUUGGCUCUGGAAGAAAUUUGAUUCCUUUCUUUU
Molecule: long non-coding RNA, 821 nt
Filed under: Mus pahari (shrew mouse)
Lineage: Eukaryota; Metazoa; Chordata; Mammalia; Rodentia; Muridae
Description: lncRNA (MGP_PahariEiJ_G0006363.1)
Source: RNAcentral